RNAcentral lists this ribosomal RNA (404 nucleotides) under uncultured bacterium. Its description in RNAcentral is "bacterial SSU rRNA". It matches the Rfam family "Bacterial small subunit ribosomal RNA", at positions 355 to 775 of the family's 1533-position model. The record is from RNAcentral.
CAGGGAAUCUUGCGCAAUGGACGGCAGUCCGACGCAGCGACGCCGCGUGGGUGAAGACGGCCUUCGGGUUGUAAAGCCCUUUUCUGGGGGAAGAGAUAGGACGGGACUCCAGGAAUAAGUGUCGGCUAACUACGUGCCAGCAGCCGCGGUAAUACGUAGGACACGAGCGUUAUCCGGAUUUACUGGGCGUAAAGCGCCUGUAGGCGGUUCUUCAAGUCGUUUGUGAAAGCCCUGGGCUCAACUCGGGGAGGCCAAGCGAUACUGGAGGACUUGAGGGUGACAGAGGGGAGUGGAAUUUCCGGUGUAGCGGUAAAAUGCGCAGAUAUCGGGAAGAACACCAGUGGCGAAGGCGGCUCCCUGGGUCACACCAGACGCUGAGAGGCGAAAGCUAGGGGAGCGAACAG